This 180-nucleotide ribosomal RNA is filed under the name uncultured bacterium. RNAcentral describes it as "partial 16S ribosomal RNA". It matches the Rfam family "Bacterial small subunit ribosomal RNA", at positions 338 to 514 of the family's 1533-position model. The record is from RNAcentral.
CCUACGGGAGGCAGCAGUGAGGAAUAUUGGUCAAUGGGCGAGAGCCUGAACCAGCCAAGUAGCGUGCAGGAUGACGGCCCUAUGGGUUGUAAACUGCUUUUAUAAGGGUAAUAAAGUGGGGCUCGUGAGCUCCUUUGCAUGUACCUUAUGAAUAAGGACCGGCUAAUUCCGUGCCAGCAG